AAUCCUUUCCAGCGAUAAUAAGUGAUGAGCAGCUUGAAAGGGAAAUUGUCAUUUACAAGUCGAAGGAAAAGGAAAGUGGAAGAAAGAGGUGGCAUGGUGCAGAAAAAGGAGUUUGUCUUCUUUUUCUUCUAAAAUAGAGGCUUUGGAGGGACUCUGAUUUGCACUAAUUCAUUUAUGUUGAUAUUUGAGAUUUUAUGCUGUAAUUUCAGGUUGAGAGAUGUGUGAUUUCUUUGAAUGGGUGGACAUGGAAUGUUGUGUGAGGUGCAUGGCUAAUUGAUGGAUUAUGAGAAGAAGGAUUGAUGAAUGAGCAUCAAAUACUGAUAAAUUGUGAAGCAAAUGAAGGAUUGGAAAACAAAAGAGGGUUAAUUGGUCAUGUUUAUGACUGUUGUUUUCAUUCAUGGGUGUUAAAAAUUUUGAAAAAAUUACUGAUUUAGGUUUUUUUUGAUCAUAUAUGUUUUAAAAUAUUAUUAACUUGUUUAUUUUUAUUUAAUUAAGUUUAUGUAUUUACUUAAUUAAUUUGGUGAAGAAAAAAGGAGCAAUUAUCAAGACA
Long non-coding RNA from Cannabis sativa, 550 nucleotides. RefSeq lists it as uncharacterized. The record is from RefSeq and is a predicted model, not a curated record. Lineage: Eukaryota; Viridiplantae; Streptophyta; Magnoliopsida; Rosales; Cannabaceae. The transcript has 2 exons.